GCCCAGCCGUAAACUUUUAUUUACACCUAAAUCGCCAGGGAACUACGAGCUAAGCUUAAAACCCAAAGGACUUGACGGUACCCCACAUCCUACUAGAGGAGCCUGUUCUGUAAUCGAUAAUCCGCGUUUAACCUCACCAUCUUUAGUUAAUCAGCCUGUAUACCUCCGUCGUCAGCUUACCACGUGAGCGCAAAUUAGUGGGCCCAAUGUUAUUACACCAAUACGUCAGGUCAAGGUGCAGCAAAUAAGAUGGGAAGAGAUGGGCUACACUUUCUACUUUAGAAAAAACGGAAAACUACCUAUGAAACCUAGUUGGAAGGCGGAUUUAGCAGUAAAAAGGAAUCAACACGUCCAUUUUAACUUGGCACUGGGGUGUGU
RNAcentral lists this ribosomal RNA (378 nucleotides) under Sclerophrys maculata (flat-backed toad). RNAcentral's name for it is "partial 12S ribosomal RNA". It matches the Rfam family "Bacterial small subunit ribosomal RNA", at positions 794 to 1384 of the family's 1533-position model. Lineage: Eukaryota; Metazoa; Chordata; Amphibia; Anura; Bufonidae. The record is from RNAcentral.